Solenopsis invicta (red fire ant) is the source of this 47-nucleotide non-coding RNA. Lineage: Eukaryota; Metazoa; Arthropoda; Insecta; Hymenoptera; Formicidae. The record is from Rfam.
UAAUCUGCCCUUCUCAGGGCAACCAAAUAUUUUAUUUCGAAGAAUAU